This 301-nucleotide ribosomal RNA is filed under the name uncultured bacterium. RNAcentral's name for it is "partial 16S ribosomal RNA". It matches the Rfam family "Bacterial small subunit ribosomal RNA", at positions 509 to 809 of the family's 1533-position model. The record is from RNAcentral.
CAGUCGCCACGGUAAUACGGAGGGUGCAAGCGUUAAUCGGAAUUACUGGGCGUAAAGCGCACGCAGGCGGUCUGACAAGUCAGAUGUGAAAUCCCCGGGCUUAACCUGGGAACUGCAUUUGAAACUGUCAGGCUGGAGUCUUGUAGAGGGGGGUGGAAUUCCAGGUGUAGCGGUGAAAUGCGUAGAGAUCUGGAGGAAUACCGGUGGCGAAGGCGGCCCCCUGGACAAAGACUGACGCUCAGGUGCGAAAGCGUGGGGAGCAAACAGGAUUAGAGACCCCUGUAGUCCCUGUCUCUUAUAU